UAAGCUACAUGUUGUUCUCAAUUAGGAAAUGGCUUCAUUUCCACAGCAACCAAGAGCAGAACCCAAGAUUUUACCCAGGGAACCCAGCUUCCCCAGAACAAGUGAGUCAUUCCCAUCCUUCUCCUCAACCCUCGUCAGCUUUCAAUGUUUAGUUUGCUGGAUUACAAUAACAUCGUCCCCUUCUCUUUCUUGCAUUUCCUUCAGCAUCCUUGCACAAAGCUUUGUCCAUCCAAAACAUGACCCAGAUUGAAACGCCGUGGGAGAAUGUCACCCUCAACCGCUGUCUGUUUGUGGCCAUUACCAUCCUGGUGCUCACCUCAGGCUUUCAGAGGCUUCAUGGCAAGUAAACUAAAAGUAGGGCCACAGUUACAAAAUGACAUGGCUGCUGUGACUGAGUGGUCUCUUUUUGAAAAAAACAAAACAGAAACUCUGCGCGGUCAAAGGACAGCAGAGCAGGAGGAAGAAGUUGGACUGACAGUGAGACGGUCGGGCACAUUACGACACAGAGGACAACCACCGGAGCCUGAGACAACUAUUUGGGAAGUCAUGUUUUGGUGGCUGCCAGACCUUGAUGAUGAAGAGGAGGAGGAGGAAGAUGAUGAUGACGAUGAUGGACAAGUCAAAAGAGUAAAGUCAAAGAGAGGAACAUCAAGCAGUCUCAGAAACAAGCCACUGCCAGACAAAAAACUCAUGAAGCAAAGUGAAGGAAAAUUAAAGGGCAGGAGAGCUAAGAAAGCCAGGGAUGAAGAAAUCAAAGUAAAACAAGAAAUAGAUAAAACAGAGGAACCUGAAGAAGUAGCAGAUGAAGAAGAUAAGGAUGAAGGAAAUGAGGAGGCAGAGCCUGAGAAGAAUGAAAAGCUGCAGGAAAAGAAGAAGAAAAAGAAGCAAAAGGGAUGAGUGGAUUCUUUCUAAGGCAGUAAUUUGUUUUAACAAUUUUCUCCUGGAUAGAUUUAAUUACAUUUAUUAAAAGGUGGUAAUUUGAAUUAAAUAGAUUUUCCCUGUCAAAUCUUUCAGAUACCACCACUGAGACCUGAAAGUUAAAUUACCUCAAUAUCAACGUGUUACAGAUUGGUUUCUUUGCUAUAUGUGAUUUUGUGUAAUGGAGCUUUGAAUUUACCUGGUAAGACAUUUGCAUUUUCAUUUCAUGUUAUGAUUGCUUUAUUUGAAAUCUGUGUGAACAUUUGAUUCAUUUA
This is a long non-coding RNA of Cottoperca gobio, 1193 nucleotides long. Lineage: Eukaryota; Metazoa; Chordata; Actinopteri; Perciformes; Bovichtidae. The record is from Ensembl.